GGCCCCGUCGUCUAGGCUGGUCGAGGACACCGGUCUUUCAAGCCGGGAACACGGGUUCAAAUCCCGUCGGGGCCACAA
RNAcentral lists this transfer RNA (78 nucleotides) under Armatimonadota bacterium. RNAcentral describes it as "Armatimonadetes bacterium (hot springs metagenome) tRNA-Glu". It matches the Rfam family "tRNA". Rfam says of the family: Transfer RNA (tRNA) molecules are approximately 80 nucleotides in length. Their secondary structure includes four short double-helical elements and three loops (D, anti-codon, and T loops). The record is from RNAcentral. Lineage: Bacteria; Bacillati; Armatimonadota.